AGAGCGGAACGCAGCCAAGGAUGACUUGCCGGCAGUCGCACCGCGUUACGGUACUUAACUUAUCAUAUCACACGAGAAGAAAAUAUCGGCUAUCAGAAAAGCCGACAACGUAGGUAAGCACAUUUUGAUUGUCGGCAAGUUGUCCUUGGCUGCAUUUGGUUCUCU
This is a non-coding RNA of Punica granatum (pomegranate), 165 nucleotides long. Lineage: Eukaryota; Viridiplantae; Streptophyta; Magnoliopsida; Myrtales; Lythraceae. The record is from Rfam.